UCCUGGUUAGCUCAGCUGGUAGAGCGUUCCACUGGAAAUGGGGAAGUUCCUGUUUCGAUACCCGUACCAGGCG
RNAcentral lists this transfer RNA (73 nucleotides) under Ixodes scapularis (black-legged tick). It matches the Rfam family "tRNA". Rfam says of the family: Transfer RNA (tRNA) molecules are approximately 80 nucleotides in length. Their secondary structure includes four short double-helical elements and three loops (D, anti-codon, and T loops). Further hydrogen bonds mediate the characteristic L-shaped molecular structure. tRNAs have two regions of fundamental functional importance: the anti-codon, which is responsible for specific mRNA codon recognition, and the 3' end, to which the tRNAs corresponding amino acid is attached (by aminoacyl-tRNA synthetases). tRNAs cope with the degeneracy of the genetic code in two manners: having more than one tRNA (with a specific anti-codon) for a particular amino acid; and 'wobble' base-pairing, i.e. permitting non-standard base-pairing at the 3rd anti-codon position. The record is from Rfam by way of RNAcentral. Lineage: Eukaryota; Metazoa; Arthropoda; Arachnida; Ixodida; Ixodidae.